This 534-nucleotide ribosomal RNA is filed under the name uncultured bacterium. RNAcentral's name for it is "bacterial SSU rRNA". It matches the Rfam family "Bacterial small subunit ribosomal RNA", at positions 976 to 1509 of the family's 1533-position model. The record is from RNAcentral.
CGGCCUUGACAUACUAAGAACUUUCCAGAGAUGGAUUGGUGCCUUCGGGAACUUAGAUACAGGUGCUGCAUGGCUGUCGUCAGCUCGUGUCGUGAGAUGUUGGGUUAAGUCCCGCAACGAGCGCAACCCUUUUCCUAUUUGCCAGCGGGUCAUGCCGGGAACUUUAAGGAUACUGCCAGUGACAAACUGGAGGAAGGCGGGGACGACGUCAAGUCAUCAUGGCCCUUACGGCCAGGGCUACACACGUGCUACAAUGGUCGGUACAAAGGGUUGCUACCUCGCGAGAGGAUGCUAAUCUCAAAAAAGCCGAUCGUAGUCCGGAUCGCAGUCUGCAACUCGACUGCGUGAAGUCGGAAUCGCUAGUAAUCGCGGAUCAGAAUGCCGCGGUGAAUACGUUCCCGGGCCUUGUACACACCGCCCGUCACACCAUGGGAGUUUGUUGCACCAGAAGUAGGUAGUCUAACCGCAAGGAGGACGCUUACCACGGUGUGGCCGAUGACUGGGGUGAAGUCGUAACAAGGUAGGCGUAGAUGA